AACGAAGGCUGGCGGCAUGCCUAACACAUGCAAGUCGAACGAGACCUUCGGGUCUAGUGGCGCACGGGUGCGUAACGCGUGGGAACCUGCCCUUAGGUUCGGAAUAACUCCCCGAAAGGGGUGCUAAUACCGGAUAAUGUCUUCGGACCAAAGAUUUAUCGCCUUUGGAUGGGCCCGCGUUGGAUUAGCUAGUUGGUAGGGUAAAAGCCUACCAAGGCGACGAUCCAUAGCUGGUCUGAGAGGAUGAUCAGCCACACUGGGACUGAGACACGGCCCAGACUCCUACGGGAGGCAGCAGUGGGGAAUAUUGGACAAUGGGCGAAAGCCUGAUCCAGCAAUGCCGCGUGAGUGAUGAAGGCCUUAGGGUUGUAAAGCUCUUUUACCCGGGAUGAUAAUGACAGUACCGGGAGAAUAAGCACCGGCUAACUCCGUGC
RNAcentral lists this ribosomal RNA (434 nucleotides) under uncultured bacterium. RNAcentral describes it as "partial 16S ribosomal RNA". It matches the Rfam family "Bacterial small subunit ribosomal RNA", at positions 29 to 508 of the family's 1533-position model. The record is from RNAcentral.